ACUAAACUAACAACAACAAGUAAUAUGAUUAAUUUUAAAUCACAUACAUGUAUACUACUUAUCAAGUUCUAUUACAGCUCUUUCAUCAUUUCUUUUUACAUCUCAUAUCUCCAAAAUAUAACAUUGAUAUUAAAUAAAUUCUUUUACAUCAUUCAUAUCCUUUCAUUUAACAACUAUAAUCAUCGAAAUACAAAAGAUGAUAUAUCAAAAGGGUAUACAACUAU
RNAcentral lists this long non-coding RNA (224 nucleotides) under Ananas comosus (pineapple). RNAcentral's name for it is "long non-coding RNA (ACOM_LNC003855)". Lineage: Eukaryota; Viridiplantae; Streptophyta; Magnoliopsida; Poales; Bromeliaceae. The record is from RNAcentral.